GAAUAUUGGACAAUGGGGGGAACCCUGAUCCAGCCAUGCCGCGUGAUAGAAGAAGGCCGUUUGGUUGUAAAGCACUUUAAGCGAGGAGGAGGUGAUUUUGGUUAAUACACAAGAUGCUUGGACGUUACUCGCUGAAAGAGCACCGGACAACUCUGUGCGUUGUGCCUCUGUAAUACAGAGGGUGCAAGCGUUAAUCGGAUUUACUGGGCGUAAAGCGCGCGUAGGUGGCCAAUUAAGUCAAAUGUGAAAUCCCCGAGCUUAACUUGGGAACUGCAUUCGAUACUGGUUGGCUAGAGUAUGGGAGAGGAUGGUAGAAUUCCAGGUGUAGCGGUGAAAUGCGUAGAGAUCUGGAGGAAUACCGAUGGCGAAGGCAGCCAUCUGGGCUAAUACUGACACUGAGGUGCGAAAGCAUGGGGAGCAAACA
This 424-nucleotide ribosomal RNA is filed under the name uncultured bacterium. RNAcentral describes it as "partial 16S ribosomal RNA". It matches the Rfam family "Bacterial small subunit ribosomal RNA", at positions 359 to 774 of the family's 1533-position model. The record is from RNAcentral.